Molecule: non-coding RNA, 494 nt
Organism: Cricetulus griseus (Chinese hamster)
Lineage: Eukaryota; Metazoa; Chordata; Mammalia; Rodentia; Cricetidae
Source: RefSeq, a predicted model, not a curated record
AUGGCGGGUGAAAAAGUCAAGAAGCUUGACACAAGAGAAAAAAAAACAGCAGCCAAGAAGACUGGUGGUGAUGCCACUGCAGCUGGUGCCCCUGCUGCUGGUGCAGCCAAAAAGGGUGGCCCCAAGGUUAAAAAACCCAAGAAGGGGAAGCCCCAUUGCAGCCACAACCCUGUCCUGGUUAGAGAAAUUAGCAGGUUCUCCCAAUCUGCUAUGUAUUCCAGAAAGGCCCUGUACAAAAGAAAAUACUCAGCUGCAAAAAAACCAAAGUUGAAAAGAGGAAGAAAAAGGAGAAGGUCCUUGCUACUGUCACUAAACCGGUUGGUGGUGACAAAAAUAGUGGUACCCGGGUGGUUAUGCUUUGAAAAAAGCCCAGGUGUUACCCUACUGAAGAUGUUCCUCGGAAGCUGCUGAGCCAUGGCAAAGAGCCCUUCAGUCAGCAUGUGAGAAAGCUGCAUGCCACUAUCACUCCAGGGACUGUCCUGAUCAUCCUCACC